AGGGACGAUCGGUAGCUGGUCUGAGAGGAUGAUCAGCCWCAAUGGGACUGAGACACGGCCCAUACUCYUACGGGAGGCAGCAGUGGGGAAUUUUACGCAAUGGGCGAAAGCCUGAYGUAGCGACACCGCGUGAGCGAAGAAGCCCCUUGKGGUGUAAAGCUCUGUCAGCUGGAACGAAAAAAAUGACGGUACCMGCAGAGGAAGCAUCGGCUAACUACGUKCCAGCAGCCGCGGUAAGACGUAGGAUGCAAGCGUUGUCCGGAUUUAUUGGGCGUAAAGAGUUCGUAGGUGGUUUGUUAAGUUUGGUGUUAAAGAUUGGGGCUCAACCCUGAAACUGCACUGAAUACUGGCAGACUCGAGUGUGGUAGAGGCUAGUGGAAUUCCCAGUGUAGCGGUGAAAUGCGUAGAUAUUGGGAAGAACACCGGUGGCGUAGGMGACUAGCUGGKCCAUAACUGACACUGAGGAACGAAASCCAUAGGUACGAAUGGGAUUAGAUWCCCCAGUAGUCCUKRCSKWWAACGAUSGAUACUAUGGCGCGUCGSGGUGCACGCCGGGUCCAGC
RNAcentral lists this ribosomal RNA (562 nucleotides) under uncultured Legionella sp. RNAcentral describes it as "partial 16S ribosomal RNA". Lineage: Bacteria; Pseudomonadati; Pseudomonadota; Gammaproteobacteria; Legionellales; Legionellaceae. The record is from RNAcentral.